RNAcentral lists this ribosomal RNA (274 nucleotides) under uncultured bacterium. Its description in RNAcentral is "partial 16S ribosomal RNA". It matches the Rfam family "Bacterial small subunit ribosomal RNA", at positions 523 to 796 of the family's 1533-position model. The record is from RNAcentral.
AUACGGAGGUUGCAAGCGUUACUCGGAAUCACUGGGCGUAAAGCGCGCGCAGGCGGCUAUUUAAGUUGGAUGUGAAAGCCUACGGCUCAACCGUAGAACUGCAUCCAAAACUAUUUAGCUAGAGUGUGGGAGAGGAAGAUGGAAUUAGUUGUGUAGGGGUAAAAUCCGUAGAGAUAACUAGGAAUACCAAAAGCGAAGGCAAUCUUCUGGAACACUACUGACGCUGAGGCGCGAAAGCGUGGGGAGCAAACAGGAGUAGAAACCCUGGUAGUCC